ACGGCUCAGUAACACGUGAUCAACUUACCCUAUAGAGAAAAAUAACCUCGGGAAACUGAGGACAAUGUUUCAUAGUUGAAUUGGCUUGGAAAAGUUUUUCGACGAAAGGGGUAAAAAAAAUGGUUUUUAUCUGCUAUAGGAUAGGAUCGUGUUCGAUUAUGGUUGUUGGUGAGGUAAUGGCUCACCAAGCCGAUAAUCGAUAGGGGCCGUGAGAGCGGGAGCCCCGAGAUGGGUACUGAGACAACGACCCAGGCCUUACGAGGCGCAGCAGGCGCGAAACCUCCGCAAUACACGAAAGUGUGACGGGGUUACCCAAAGUGUUCAAUUUUGAACUGUGGUAGGUGAGUAAUGUUCCCUACUAGAAAGGAGAGGGCAAGGCUGGUGCCAGCCGCCGCGGUAAAACCAGCUCUUCAAGUGGUCGGGAUAAUUAUUGGGCUUAAAGUGUCCGUAGCCGGUUUAGUAAGUUCCUGGUAAAAUCGGGUAGCUUAAUUAUCUAUAUGCUAGGAAUACUACUAUACUAGAGGGCGGGAGAGGUCUGAGGUACCGCAGGGGUAGGGGUGAAAUCUUAUAAUCCUUGUUGGACCACCAGUGGCGAAGGCGUCAGACCGGAACGCGCCUGACGGUGAGGGACGAAAGCCAGGGGAGCGAACCGGAUUAGAUACCCGGGUAGUCCUGGCCGUAAACGAUGCAUACUAGGUGAUGGCACGGCCAUGAGCCGUGUCAGUGCCGUAGGGAAACCGUUAAGUGUGCCGCCUGGGAAGUACGGUCGCAAGGCUAAAACUUAAAGGAAUUGGCGGGGGAGCACCACAAGGGGUGAAGCCUGCGGUUCAAUUGGACUCAACGCCGGA
This 848-nucleotide ribosomal RNA is filed under the name uncultured archaeon. RNAcentral describes it as "bacterial SSU rRNA". It matches the Rfam family "Archaeal small subunit ribosomal RNA", at positions 85 to 922 of the family's 1478-position model. The record is from RNAcentral.